AACGAACGCUGGCGGCAUGCCUAACACAUGCAAGUCGAACGAGACCUUCGGGUCUAGUGGCGCACGGGUGCGUAACGCGUGGGAACCUGCCCUUAGGUUCGGAAUAACUCCCCGAAAGGGGUGCUAAUACCGGAUAAUGUCUUCGGACCAAAGAUUUAUCGCCUUUGGAUGGGCCCGCGUUGGAUUAGCUAGUUGGUAGGGUAAAAGCCUACCAAGGCGACGAUCCAUAGCUGGUCUGAGAGGAUGAUCAGCCACACUGGGACUGAGACACGGCCCAGACUCCUUCGGGAGGCAGCAGGUGGGAAUAUUGGACAAUGGGCCAAAGGCUGGUCCAGCCAUGCCGCGUGGAUGAUGGAGGGCUUAGGGUUGUAAAGCUCUUUUACCCGGGAUGAUAAUGACAGUACCGGGAGAAUAAGCUCCGGCUAACUCCGUG
This 433-nucleotide ribosomal RNA is filed under the name uncultured bacterium. Its description in RNAcentral is "partial 16S ribosomal RNA". It matches the Rfam family "Bacterial small subunit ribosomal RNA", at positions 29 to 507 of the family's 1533-position model. The record is from RNAcentral.